GCCCGGUUAGUUCAGUUGGUAGAGCAUCAGACUUUUAAUCUGAGGGCCAUGGGUUCGAGUCCCAUAUCGGGCU
This 73-nucleotide transfer RNA is filed under the name Paramuricea clavata. It matches the Rfam family "tRNA". From Rfam's summary of the family: Transfer RNA (tRNA) molecules are approximately 80 nucleotides in length. Their secondary structure includes four short double-helical elements and three loops (D, anti-codon, and T loops). Lineage: Eukaryota; Metazoa; Cnidaria; Anthozoa; Malacalcyonacea; Plexauridae. The record is from Rfam by way of RNAcentral.